AGCGAACGCUGGCGGCAAGCUUAACACAUGCAAGUCGAACGAUGUAGCAAUACAUAGUGGCGGACGGGUGCAUAACACGUGGGUAUCUGCCUUUAGGUACGGAAUAACUCAGGGAAACUUGAGCUAAUACCGUAUAAUAUCUCUGGAUCAAAGAUUUAUCGCCUAAAGAUGAGCCCGCGGCAGAUUAGCUAGUUGGUGGGGUAAUGGCCUACCAAGGCGACGAUCUGUAGCUGGUCUUAGAGGAUGAUCAGCCACACCGGGACUGAGACACGGCCCAGACUCCUACGGGAGGCAGCAGUGGGGAAUAGUGGACAAUGGGGGCAACCCUGAUCCAGCUAUGCCGCGUGAGUGAUGAAGGCCUUAGGGUUGUAAAGCUCGUUUAGAUGGGAAGAUAAUGACGGUACCAUCAGAAAAAGCCCCGGCUAACUUCGUGCCAGCCGCCGCAGUAA
Molecule: ribosomal RNA, 449 nt
Filed under: uncultured bacterium
Lineage: Bacteria
Description: partial 16S ribosomal RNA
Rfam family: Bacterial small subunit ribosomal RNA
Source: RNAcentral